RNAcentral lists this ribosomal RNA (500 nucleotides) under uncultured bacterium. Its description in RNAcentral is "partial 16S ribosomal RNA". It matches the Rfam family "Bacterial small subunit ribosomal RNA", at positions 28 to 507 of the family's 1533-position model. The record is from RNAcentral.
GACGAACGCUGGCGGCGUGCCUAAUACAUGCAAGUCGAGCGGACUGAUUAAGAGCUUGCUCUUAUGACGUUAGCGGCGGACGGGUGGGUAACACGUGGGCAACCUGCCCUGUAGAUCGGGAUAACACCGAGAAAUCGGUGCUAAUACCGGGUAAUAUCUGAGAUCACAUGAUCUUAGGUUAAAAGAUGGCUCCGGCUAUCACUACAGGAUGGGCCCGCGGCGCAUUAGCUAGUUGGUAAGGUAAUGGCUUACCAAGGCGACGAUGCGUAGCCGACCUGAGAGGGUGAUCGGCCACACUGGGACUGAGACACGGCCCAGACUCCUACGGGAGGCAGCAGUAGGGAAUCUUCCGCAAUGGACGAAAGUCUGACGGAGCAACGCCGCGUGAGUGAUGAAGGGUUUCGGCUCGUAAAGCUCUGUUGUUAGGGAAGAAACAGUACCGAACGAACUAGGUCGGUACCUUGACGGUACCUAACCAGAAAGCCACGGCUAACUACGUG